Molecule: long non-coding RNA, 1237 nt
Organism: Harpia harpyja (harpy eagle)
Lineage: Eukaryota; Metazoa; Chordata; Aves; Accipitriformes; Accipitridae
Exons: 3
Source: RefSeq, a predicted model, not a curated record
UGUGAUUGGUGGAGAGUUCAGGGAAGUUUUUUGGAAGGGCUGAUGCUGCAAUCAAAUAAUGAGACUUUCAGCACGCACAAGAUGGCAGGUGAUGGGAACGCUCCUUCUGUUUGCCUGUUGGUGUAGCACUGGCAGGACGGCUCCCUGGUCGCAUAAGGAAGCUGGGCUGCUGCAUGGCUCUGCUGAGGACACGGGGGGUGGGCUAUCCCCCUGCAGAGUGGCUCUGCUCCCUGCCAGGCAGAGCUGUCGGUCCCACUGCUGGAAUCAGCAACGUAACGUUUAAACUAUCUAUCCCCCCUCUUGCGGGGCUGGCGAGAAAGCCAGUGUUCCCCCUUUGGGGAAACGAAGGCUGCGUGCGUGGGCACUGCAGUAGCUCUGAAUCACCCCAGCAGAGCGAGGGAUCAAAUCAAGUCACAUUCCAGGGCAUUAGACAGACGGUGGGAAUUAAAAGCUUUACCUGGAAACUGGCUUUGUAUCUCCAAGCCCUGCUUUUGUCUCCCAGCCCAACCCUCUAUUUUUGUCCCUUUUACCUUCUGUGUUGUCGUGCGUCAUGUAUGCCAGGGCUUGGUGCCUGGUUGUGCAGUCACCCCCAGCCACGUUCAGGGAGCCCUCAGUAAAUAUUGGGCUGUGCAGCCUAGAAGGAAACAUUCAGGCAGUAUGGGAAGGUAGGAAAAGUGUGGUUUAUCAAAAACAAGCUGCUUUGGGACUCAUUAAAAGCUAAGGAAGGGCUCCAGCUUCUUUCAGAAGGCUUGGGAUCAGUCAGACUAGAAAGUCCCAUCUGGGCUAUUAGCAGUAAGUCUUGUUUUUAUUUCUUUCAGUCUAUAAGGUCUGGGGACAGGGUGUCCCUUGGGGGCCAGUCCUGCCCUGACAGCAGGGAGGUUUGCCUGCUUCAGCUCUGUCUUCGCUUUUCCCUUAAUCUGGUCCCCGCAUGCACCCUCCCCCUUGUGUCAUCGGUUGCUCUCUGCGUCCCUGGGUGAGCUUAGCAUCUCCCAUCGGUGCUGCUGGGCCUUGAUCCUGGCUGUGGGCUGUCGGUGGUGCAGGGCAGCUUUUGGGGUGCUGCACAACGCAGGAGGAGGCAGAGCUCGGGGGCUCCUCACCUUAAUUACCAGAGCCUUGAUUUUCUGACCUAUAAAACAAUCCUUGUCUAUUUGGGUCUUGCGGUCUUUCUUUGAGGAAACAUUUGAAAUAAUGAUGCUUUUCUAACGGUAAUAAUGACAUUAGGCUCUUAUACAUAACU